RNAcentral lists this unclassified non-coding RNA (680 nucleotides) under Hevea brasiliensis (rubber tree). Lineage: Eukaryota; Viridiplantae; Streptophyta; Magnoliopsida; Malpighiales; Euphorbiaceae. The record is from RNAcentral.
CUCAUUCCUCUCCAAAAUCUUCGCUCUCUCUUUUUCUCUCUCUCCGCCUUCUUCUCUCCUCUUCCCGUACUUUCAAAUUCCCUUUCUACCCUUCCUCUUUCNNNCCUCCCCCUUUCCGAAAUUCGCACCUUUAUCCUCUCCCCCAGCGACCCUGCCCUUCUGCCGGCAGCGUUUUCAUGGACUCUUCUUCGCCGGAAGCCAUAGCCUCUGUCGACUCGCUCACAGAUAACUUCAAGAAUCAGAGUUUAGGCGCCGAUGAUAGUCUUCAUGAUAAAAACGAUCAUAGCAGCAAUAACAAUACUAGUAAGGAUAAAUAUACGCUUGAAGAUCUGAAUUGGGACCAUUCUUUUGUUACAGAGUUGCCUGGUGAUCCCAGAACCGACAACAUUCCGCGUCAGGUGUUGCAUGCUUGUUAACAAAAAUUUCUCCAUCAGCUGAGGUAGAGAAUCCUCAGCUUGUUACGUGGUCAGAGUCAGUAGCUGGAGUUACUUGAUUUGGAUCCUAAAGAGUGAGUUUCGCCUUGUGUUCCUUCUUGUUGGGAGGUCAAGCGCAUUUGCUAGUUUCUAACAUUACAGAUAUUGGUCAAAUUGGAUACAUCUACCGGGAACAAUGACGUAAUCCUUUAUCAACUUCACAUCUUUAAACUUUUUUUUUUUUUUGGUUACUUGGUUCUAUCUCUU